Arabidopsis thaliana (thale cress) is the source of this 347-nucleotide long non-coding RNA. RefSeq annotates it as other RNA. The transcript has a single exon. The record is from RefSeq. Lineage: Eukaryota; Viridiplantae; Streptophyta; Magnoliopsida; Brassicales; Brassicaceae.
UGUGGUGUUUUACGUCUUCGUGCGUUUAGUGUUUUUUUUUUUUCGAGUGUAAGGAACAUUUUUGGCUGUGUUUAUUUUUUUUAUGAGAGAGAGAGCAAGAGAGAGUUAACAUUUUGUUAUUUACUCUGAGCAUAGUGAAACAUAUCAAAAAAGAUAAUCACAAGAUAAAAUUGAUACAACAAAAUUAGAGCCGAGAAAUAAUUAAUGAAACUUACUAUAUACUCAGCUAAGGUUGCUUCUCAUUCGUACUUUUAACCUGGACAAAAGUAAUGCAAAGUAAACUAAAAAUACUAAAGAAACAAGUUACCUUAACAUGAAAAAUGGUUGGCUCUCCCAUAUUCACAAGA